This 280-nucleotide long non-coding RNA is filed under the name Gossypium raimondii (Peruvian cotton). RNAcentral's name for it is "long non-coding RNA (GRAI_LNC003716)". The record is from RNAcentral. Lineage: Eukaryota; Viridiplantae; Streptophyta; Magnoliopsida; Malvales; Malvaceae.
UUGUGUUUAUUUUUUAUUUUUUGCUUAAAAAUAGAGUAUUUGAUUCAACUGGUUCAAGUUCUCUGCACAUUUGGGGUUAUUCUAUAUCUUCACACGAAAGGUAAUUCCCUAAUUUGUUUCACAAAUCCCAUAAUUUUUUAUUAUCAUGAUUUAAGUUCAAAAUUAGUAUCUUUCAAGAAAAAUAUUGGAUCUUCAUGCUUCAAGUAAUUCGAAUAAAUCGAAUACACUAUAUAUAUUUUUUUAUUUUUAAAAUACACUACAUAUAUUUUUUUUAUUUUUA